RNAcentral lists this long non-coding RNA (775 nucleotides) under Hordeum vulgare. RNAcentral describes it as "long non-coding RNA (HVUL_LNC001700)". The record is from RNAcentral. Lineage: Eukaryota; Viridiplantae; Streptophyta; Magnoliopsida; Poales; Poaceae.
UUCCACAAUAAAUAUCAAGCAAGAAUGAGAUAUCUAAUGAAAUCAUACUAACAAUCAUAUAUGCACAUCCAUAUGCCAUGGCCCACCCACAGAAAGAGUUCAAUCCAAGACACUGAGAACCACACACUACAAUUACAGCAUUUCUCGGAACAUGCAGGCUGCAUUUUGAAAUUGAUUGAAUGUGAACAUAACAGAGUAGGGUGCAUCAUCACCAACAAAAUGGAGCAGACAAAGAACGAAUUGCUCACUGAAUUUUGAAAUUAAUGAAGUUGAACAUAACAGAGUAGGGCGCAUAAUCACCAGCAAAAUGGAGCAGACAAAGAAGGACGUGCAAGAUGAAUGUUGAUAUUACAUGAAGGUGGACAUAGAGAGUAGAGUGAAUCAUCACCAACAAAAUGGAGCAAAACAGAGAAAGACGUGCACACUGAACUCUGAAAUUACAUGAAGGUGAACUGUGAACAUUAAUAGAGUAGGGUGCGACAUCAUCAACAAAAUGGAGCAAACAAAGAAUGCCAGUGUCAUAAAACUACAACCAGAACAUCAAAACUCUAAUCACGUUGAUAUUCUCAUUCCUCUUCAGGGAGCUGAACGGACACUCCUUAAAACUCGCAGACCUACUGACCAAACAGCUAAAUUCAGCAACGGCCAACAAUAUACACCCUAACCUGGGACAGCCUGCCCCGAUAACAAAUACAACGACAUUUGGCAGCACAGCACACUAAAAAUCGCACCACGCUCGACGGUGGAAACAGCAUACACGAGACAGUUUAAGGAG